This 1993-nucleotide long non-coding RNA is filed under the name Homo sapiens (human). RNAcentral's name for it is "HSALNT0057981". The record is from RNAcentral. Lineage: Eukaryota; Metazoa; Chordata; Mammalia; Primates; Hominidae.
GCCCAUAAACCGGAAAGCCUCCUUGGAGUCAUUUAAGCUUCAAACGGUGAACUUGCCUCACCCAAAGGAUAUUCCCUUAGUAAUGAAAAGGCUCAGAAGUGGAAGAGAUGUGCCUUGACUCAGAUGAGACUUUGGACUUGGACUUUUGAGUUAAUUCUGGAAUGAGUUAAAACUUUAGGGGACUGUUGGGAAGGCAUUAUUGUGUUUUAAAUGUGAAAAGAACAUGAGGUAUGGGAGGGGUCAGGGGUGGAAUGAUAUGGUUUGGCUCUGUGUCCCCACCCAAAUCUCAUGUCAAAUUUUAAUCCCCAGUGUUGGUGGAGGAGCCUAGUGAGAGGUGACUGAAUCACAGGGGCAGACUUCCUCCUUGUUUCUCUUGUGAUAGUGAGUGAGUUCUCAUGAACUCUGGUUGUUGUAAAGUGUGUGGCACCUUUCCCUUCACUCUCUCUCUUCCUCCUGCUCUUGCCGUGAGAAUAAGUGCAUGCUUCCCCUCCUGCCAUGGGAAUAAGUGCAUGCUUCCCCUCCUGCCAUGAGAACAAGUGCAUGCUUCUCCUUUUGCCUUCUACCAUGUUUGAAAGUUUCCUGAAGCCUCUCCAGCCAUGCUCCCUGUGCAGCCUGCAGAACUAUGAGCCAAUUAAACAUGUUUUUGUAUAUAAAUUACCCAAUCUUAAGUAGUUCUUUAUAGCAACACAAGAAUAAACUCAUACAACCCCCAUUAUCAUUCAGCUAAAUAUGGUUGGGUUUUUGGAGCCUCAAGCAUGAAGGUGAACUGGCUAUGGCUAUACCAGCCUGAAAGGAUUGAACUCUCCCCUGGAAUCCCAGAACAAAUUCCUUCAACUGAAAAUGUCUCUCCUGUCUCGAGGAGCAAGUCCCCACAAAUUUAUUUUCUCACUUUCAUCCAAACUCUGAUAAUUCUGGAAAGAAGACCAAAGAUUUGUCAAUAACAGGCACUCUUAGGGCAGUGUCUGUUCCCUGAGCUGAUCAUAGGAGCAUGUUGGGAAAUUUCAUCAAAUGUAAAAUCAAAGCCUUGUAUUAGACUUAGCAAAAGUUAGCCGUUGGCAAAUUGUGAAAUUGGUUAAGUAUGCCUGUGGCACCUUCCCACUUUCAUAAUUAAUUUUUAUGCCCUCCCACUUGGCUCUUAUAACCCUACAAGUACAAAUAAUUGGUCAUUUGUGUGACUUUCUGUUUAUUGCAUGUCUCUAUUUAACUUGCUAUAAUUUGCAUAUGUGUGGAGACUACACUUGUCUUUUUGGCUACUAUAUCCUUCUGUCCCCUAAUAUUGUACCUGAUUAUGGAAUACGCCAAUUUAUUAAAUGAAUAAAGUUUUUUUAAAUAUCUUGACCCCUUUUUGGAACAUUAUAUAGCACAAAAAUAAUUGUUCAGUGACUGUACCUUAACUGAAUGGAUUGUAUGAGUAAUGGAAGUGGUUAAGAUAUGAAUCACUCUGGGAUUGCAUUUCCACAAAACUUUUCCAAGACCUAUCAUAAGAGGGAGGGAAGAGUGAGACCUCCCAAUACACUGUAUAUUUACAAGAACUGCAAAACUUUCAAUGGUAUGUUUCUUUACUUGUAGCAGGCUUUAGGUUUCAACCUGUUCUCUCUAAUGCCUGCCACUGUCUACCUCAUCUCUGUGACUUCUGUCUCCAUGUAGUUGGCUGUGAAAUAGGAUGCAGUUUCUUCUUCUUCCCUUGCUAUUUUUGUUUAAUGGACACAAGUCCCUAUUUAAUCACCUGGAAAAGCUACCAGAAGGGGAAGAAAGCAAGCCACAUUGAGAGUAUACACUACUCUUACUAAUAUAAUCUUAGGCCAUUUGUACUGUUUUUGUUUCUGGGCCAUAUUGUAAACUCUUUGGUAUGGAACAAUAAUAAUCAAAAUUGCUUACAUGUAUUGAGUACAUGUUAUUUAUUAUACUCAUUUGACACUUUAAACUGUUUUGUCAUUUAGUCUCAAAAUGGUUUGGAUUUACAAAUGAGUACACUGAGGCUCAAAAAGGAGUA